This 109-nucleotide non-coding RNA is filed under the name Alkalihalophilus pseudofirmus. RNAcentral's name for it is "Bacillus pseudofirmus SAM-I sequence". It matches the Rfam family "SAM riboswitch aptamer (S box leader)". Rfam says of the family: The SAM riboswitch is found upstream of a number of genes which code for proteins involved in methionine or cysteine biosynthesis in Gram-positive bacteria. The SAM riboswitch acts at the level of transcription termination control. Lineage: Bacteria; Bacillati; Bacillota; Bacilli; Caryophanales; Bacillaceae. RNAcentral also lists the same sequence under 1 other name. The record is from RNAcentral.
CUCUUAUCAAGAGCGACCGAGGGACAGGCCCUAUGACGUCCGGCAACCUCUAAGUUUCAUACUUAGUCGGUGCUAAAUCCUGCAGAGCUAUGGCUCUGAAAGAUAAGAG